Drosophila guanche is the source of this 717-nucleotide long non-coding RNA. RefSeq lists it as uncharacterized. The record is from RefSeq and is a predicted model, not a curated record. NCBI's taxonomy places the organism in Eukaryota, Metazoa, Arthropoda, Insecta, Diptera, Drosophilidae. The transcript is spliced from 3 exons.
ACAUCUCGUGACAAUACUCAAAAUUAAAAAAAAAAAACUGAAAUGUGCAAAGUGAAACUGUAAAAGUUAAAACUCUAAAAAGAAUUCACAAAACCCACAGCUCGUACGAUUGGUCGCAGUUCCUGAUGCAAACUAAAUGCAGCUUCAGUACAACAUUCCCAACAUUCUAAACGAGGAGAACGUCAAGCAGCAACAACCCAGAGGAGCAGCUCUGCAGCGUCCAAUCAAUCAUUCGUGGAACUUCUGGGCAGGACCUACGUGUGUGACCCUUUGCUAUGAGAUGGAGUUCGGCCGAUGGCAGUUGGAGAGAAUCCGUUGCCAGGUUUUGGAGAGUUUAGCUUAGGAUAAUGGGUUUGGGCUCCACCCGAGAAGAUUUCACUUUUGUCGGCUAAAGCGGCACUUAAACAUGUGCACAUCGAUGAGCCCGCUCGCUGGCCAGAUUAAGAAUCCAACUCUGUAGUUCCCUUCCCGAGUUCCUGACAAUCCCACCGCCCAAAUUAUAUUCUAACCUAAAUUCUUCAAAAUCCUGGCGGCGUAUCUUUUUCAAGUGCCACGACCGAACUCCAUACCAUGGUAGGGGCUCAUCCACGUCGGACCAGGGUUCCUUCACCUCCUAACGCUGGCGAUUGGCUGCGCUUGUGGUUGUUGCUGCAAAUUCCAUUUGUGAUCCUUCAACUGGCUGCAAUUGCAGGCUACGACUGCAGGCUCUUGUUGCUU